AUUGAACGCUGGCGGCAUGCCUUACACAUGCAAGUCGAACGGCAGCGGACCUUCGGGUGCCGGCGAGUGGCGAACGGGUGAGUAAUAUAUCGGAACGUACCUUUCAGUGGGGGAUAACGUAGCGAAAGUUACGCUAAUACCGCAUAUUCUGUGAGCAGGAAAGCAGGGGAUCGCAAGACCUUGCGCUGAUUGAGCGGCCGAUAUCAGAUUAGCUAGUUGGUGAGGUAAAGGCUCACCAAGGCGACGAUCUGUAGCGGGUCUGAGAGGAUGAUCCGCCACACUGGAACUGAGACACGGUCCAGACUCCUACGGGAGGCAGCAGUGGGGAAUUUUGGACAAUGGGCGCAAGCCUGAUCCAGCCAUGCCGCGUGAGUGAAGAAGGCCUCGGUUGUAAGCUCUUUCGGUCCGGUAGAAAGUACGCACAGGUUAAUA
RNAcentral lists this ribosomal RNA (432 nucleotides) under uncultured bacterium. RNAcentral describes it as "bacterial SSU rRNA". It matches the Rfam family "Bacterial small subunit ribosomal RNA", at positions 30 to 464 of the family's 1533-position model. The record is from RNAcentral.